GCCAGGUAUGGUGGUGCAUGCCUGUAAUCCCAGCAGCAUGGGAGGAUGAGGCAGGAGGAUCUCGAGUUCAAAUCCAGCCUCAA
RNAcentral lists this small RNA (83 nucleotides) under Marmota monax (woodchuck). Lineage: Eukaryota; Metazoa; Chordata; Mammalia; Rodentia; Sciuridae. The record is from RNAcentral.